This 28-nucleotide non-coding RNA is filed under the name Bombyx mori (domestic silkworm). The record is from RNAcentral. Lineage: Eukaryota; Metazoa; Arthropoda; Insecta; Lepidoptera; Bombycidae.
UGAUGGAUAUUUUAAAGGUAAUCGCGGA